ACGGUAACAGAAAAAGCUUGCUUUUUGCUGACGAGUGGCGAACGGGUGCGUAACGCGUAUGCAACCUACCUUUUUCUAAGGAAUAGCCCAGAGAAAUUUGGAUUAAUACCUUAUAAUAAUAUUCAUUCGCAUGUUUGAAUAUUUAAAGCUUUUGCGGAAAAAGAUGGGCAUGCGUGACAUUAGUUUGUUGGUGAGGUAACGGCUCACCAAGACUACGAUGUCUAGGGGUUCUGAGAGGAUGAUCCCCCACACUGGUACUGAGACACGGACCAGACUCCUACGGGAGGCAGCAGUGAGGAAUAUUGGUCAAUGGACGAAAGUCUGAACCAGCCAUGCCGCGUGAAGGAUGACGGCCCUACGGGUUGUAAACUUCUUUUGUAUAGGAAGAAACCUCCCUACGUGUAGGGAGCUGACGGUACUAUACGAAUAAGCACCGGCUAACCCCGUGCCAGCAGCCGCGGUAAUACGGAGGGUGCAAGCGUUAUCCGGAAUUAUUGGGUUUAAAGGGUGCGUAGGCGGAAGUUUAAGUCAGUGGUGAAAGCCUGCAGCUCAACUGUAGAAUUGCCAUUGAUACUGAAUUUCUUGAAUCUAAUUGAAGUGGGCGGAAUAUGACAUGUAGCGGUGAAAUGCUUAGAUAUGUCAUAGAACACCGGUAGCGAAGGCAGCUCACUAAGUUAGUAUUGACGCUCAUGCACGAAAGCGUGGGGAGCGAACAGGAUUAGAUACCCUGGUAGUCCACGCUGUAAACGAUGAUUACUCGCUAUUGGCGAUACACUGUCAGUGGCUAAGCGAAAGUGAUAAGUAAUCCACCUGGGGAGUACGAUCGCAAGGUUGAAACUCAAAGGAAUUGACGGGGGCCCGCACAAGCGGUGGAGCAUGUGGUUUAAUUUCGAUGAUACGCGAGGAACCUUACCAGGACUUAAAUGCAUAACGAUCGGUUGAGAAAUCAACUUUUCUUCG
This 960-nucleotide ribosomal RNA is filed under the name uncultured marine bacterium. RNAcentral describes it as "bacterial SSU rRNA". It matches the Rfam family "Bacterial small subunit ribosomal RNA", at positions 66 to 1020 of the family's 1533-position model. The record is from RNAcentral.